GCGCAGCUGAUGGAGCACACCGCGUGAGUGAAGAAGGGUUUCGGCUCGUAAAACUCUGUUGUUGGAGAAGAACGUGCGUAAGAGUAACUGUUUACGCAGUGACGGUAUCCAACCAGAAAGUCACGGCUAACUACGUGCCAGCAGCCGCGGUAAUACGUAGGUGGCAAGCGUUAUCCGGAUUUAUUGGGCGUAAAGCGAGCGCAGGCGGUUGCUUAGGUCUGAUGUGAAAGCCUUCGGCUUAACCGAAGAAGUGCAUCGGAAACCGGGCGACUUGAGUGCAGAAGAGGACAGUGGAACUCCAUGUGUAGCGGUGGAAUGCGUAGAUAUAUGGAAGAACACCAGUGGCGAAGGCGGCUGUCUGGUCUGCAACUGACGCUGAGGCUCGAAAGCAUGGGUAGCGAACAGGAUUAGAUACC
Molecule: ribosomal RNA, 416 nt
Filed under: Limosilactobacillus oris
Lineage: Bacteria; Bacillati; Bacillota; Bacilli; Lactobacillales; Lactobacillaceae
Description: bacterial SSU rRNA
Rfam family: Bacterial small subunit ribosomal RNA
Source: RNAcentral